This 468-nucleotide ribosomal RNA is filed under the name uncultured bacterium. RNAcentral's name for it is "partial 16S ribosomal RNA". It matches the Rfam family "Bacterial small subunit ribosomal RNA", at positions 28 to 507 of the family's 1533-position model. The record is from RNAcentral.
GACGAACGCUGGCGGCGUGCUCAACACAUGCAAGUCGAACGGAAAGGCCCUGCUUUUGUGGGGUGCUCGAGUGGCGAACGGGUGAGUAACACGUGAGUAACCUGCCCUUGACUUUGGGAUAACUUCAGGAAACUGGGGCUAAUACCGGAUAGGAGCUCCUGCUGCAUGGUGGGGGUUGGAAAGUUUCGGCGGUUGGGGAUGGACUCGCGGCUUAUCAGCUUGUUGGUGGGGUAGUGGCCUACCAAGGCUUUGACGGGUAGCCGGCCUGAGAGGGUGACCGGCCACAUUGGGACUGAGAUACGGCCCAGACUCCUACGGGAGGCAGCAGUGGGGAAUAUUGCACAAUGGGCGGAAGCCUGAUGCAGCAACGCCGCGUGCGGGAUGACGGCCUUCGGGUUGUAAACCGCUUUCGCCUGUGACGAAGCGUGAGUGACGGUAAUGGGUAAAGAAGCACCGGCUAACUACGUG